AGCCGACAGCGUUGCCCGUCGAGACGUUGUCGCUGAUCUCGCUGUCGUUCGUGUACAUGUAGUGCACUGCGAACCGCAAUUCACGAAAGC
Molecule: small RNA, 90 nt
Filed under: Sinorhizobium meliloti 2011
Lineage: Bacteria; Pseudomonadati; Pseudomonadota; Alphaproteobacteria; Hyphomicrobiales; Rhizobiaceae
Description: putative ncRNA
Source: RNAcentral